GAUGAACGCUGGCGGCGUGCCUAAUACAUGCCAGUCGAGCGAACAGAUGAGGAGCUUGCUCCUCUGACGUUAGCGGCGGACGGGUGAGUAACACGUGGAUAACCUACCUAUAAGACUGGGAUAACUUCGGGAAACCGGAGCUAAUACCGGAUAAUAUAUUGAACCGCAUGGUUCAAUAGUGAAAGACGGUUUUGCUGUCACUUAUAGAUGGAUCCGCGCCGCAUUAGCUAGUUGGUAAGGUAACGGCUUACCAAGGCAACGAUGCGUAGCCGACCUGAGAGGGUGAUCGGCCACACUGGAACUGAGACACGGUCCAGACUCCUACGGGAGGCAGCAGUAGGGAAUCUUCCGCAAUGGGCGAAAGCCUGACGGAGCAGCGCCGCGUGAGUGAUGAAGGUCUUCGGAUCGUAAAACUCUGUUAUUAGGGAAGAACAAAUGUGUAAGUAACUAUGCACGUCUUGACGGUACCUAAUCAGAAAGCCACGGCUAACUACGUG
RNAcentral lists this ribosomal RNA (497 nucleotides) under uncultured bacterium. RNAcentral describes it as "partial 16S ribosomal RNA". It matches the Rfam family "Bacterial small subunit ribosomal RNA", at positions 28 to 507 of the family's 1533-position model. The record is from RNAcentral.